RNAcentral lists this ribosomal RNA (485 nucleotides) under uncultured bacterium. Its description in RNAcentral is "partial 16S ribosomal RNA". It matches the Rfam family "Bacterial small subunit ribosomal RNA", at positions 355 to 828 of the family's 1533-position model. The record is from RNAcentral.
UGGGGAAUUUUGGACAAUGGGCGAAAGCCUGAUCCAGCAAUGCCGCGUGUGUGAAGAAGGCCUUCGGGUUGUAAAGCACUUUUGUCCGGAAAGAAAUCCUUGGCUCUAAUACAGUCGGGGGAUGACGGUACCGGAAGAAUAAGCACCGGCUAACUACGUGCCAGCAGCCGCGGUAAUACGUAGGGUGCAAGCGUUAAUCGGAAUUACUGGGCGUAAAGCGUGCGCAGGCGGUUUGCUAAGACCAUGUGAAAUCCCCGGGGCUCAACCUGGGAACUGCAUUUGGGUGACUGGGCAGGCUAGAGUAUGGCAGAGGGGGGUAGAAUUCCACGUGUAGCAGUGAAAUGCGUAGAGAUGUGGAGGAAUACCGAUGGCGAAGGCAGCCCCCUGGGCCAAUACUGACGCUCAUGCACGAAAGCGUGGGGAGCAAACAGGAUUAGAUACCCUGGUAGUCCAGCGCCCUAAACGAUGUCAACUAGUUGUUGGGG